RNAcentral lists this transfer RNA (68 nucleotides) under Marmota monax (woodchuck). RNAcentral's name for it is "tRNA.Ala". The record is from RNAcentral. Lineage: Eukaryota; Metazoa; Chordata; Mammalia; Rodentia; Sciuridae.
GCUGUCGCUCAGUGGUAGAGCGCUUGCCUAGCAUGUGUGAGGCACUGGGUUUGAUUCUCGGCACUGCA